This 22-nucleotide unclassified non-coding RNA is filed under the name Chlamydomonas reinhardtii. RNAcentral describes it as "small RNA Cre_0345". The record is from RNAcentral. Lineage: Eukaryota; Viridiplantae; Chlorophyta; Chlorophyceae; Chlamydomonadales; Chlamydomonadaceae.
ACGGUGUCGCGUGUGAGCGGUU